This 372-nucleotide long non-coding RNA is filed under the name Homo sapiens (human). RNAcentral's name for it is "HSALNT0252717". The record is from RNAcentral. Lineage: Eukaryota; Metazoa; Chordata; Mammalia; Primates; Hominidae.
CGCUGUGCAGAGCCACAAGUGGGGAAACCCUCCCCACACCUCGACUAAAUUGUGAAAAAUGCUUUUUAAAAAACCAAACAUUCCUUGUUUCAAGCCAUCCACUUUUCCAUUUAGUCGUUUUCAGGGAGGUUUUGUACAAGGAAUAGUUGUUUGUGCCGCCGAAUUCCAAGGUAGUGUGGUAUACAAGUUGCAUGUUGGGAUCUUGACUAAUUUCUUUGGAAACUGGCUGAACAUACUACUAAUGUAUAGCAGUACCACAAAAACUUGAUUUUUGUGCAUAAGAAUCAAUAGGAAAAUUUGUAUUUCUCUUACGAUGAAAAGUGGUUAAAAAAAUGAAUAUCAUUAGUAUUUCAGUAAAGCUUGGGGGGAGAU